GGCUGGGGGUGUGUAAUGGGGAUUUGUUAAAUUGUUUGUGCUAUGCGUGCAGUGAGUGCUGUCUCUGUUUCUCCUACUGAAUCACCAGCAGCGUCUACUUGGCUCGCAAAUCCUUUGGAAUGAGUGGAAUUCUUAAUGAUAGACCCGGGUCUUACUUGAGAUUGGCUCUGUGCAAACAUCAUAGCUUCCCAUAAGAGCAGGCAACAUAUGGUUACAUCUGACCAUUUCAGCCUCUGCCUGUGAAUAUGCCCAGAAAGAAAGACAGAGGGAAGACAGGGGGGAGAAAGAGAGAAAAGGAAGAAAGAAAGAAUUGUGUGAGAACUUAAUAGUGUUCAUGCUAGUUUAAAACUGAAACCAUUACAUUUAAUUAUGCUAACAUUUAACAACGGAGAAAGAAACAGAAUUGGACUUCAAAUAAACAUUUCUGCAAAAAAGCAAUAUUGGUUGCGGAAGAUUUGUCUCAAGUUAAGGGAUGAAAGGACCCCAUGGAAAGAAGAUCCAGGAGACUGGCGAAUGGAGACCAGCGUGAGCUUUUUAUCGAUAAACUGGGCAGCAUGGCCUCCUAUCUGUGGUCAGAGGUUUUACUGCGCUCCACUUUCCCGCCGUGGACCUGGGACAGCCCACCAGGGACAUGGCCGACUUUCGCCAAUAGUGUUUCUUUUAAAGCAUGCUUCGGCUGGCGCCCAAAUAAGUUUGGUCCUUAAAUACUUUAGAGACCACGCUCUGUCAGCUCCACGUGGAGGGAAAUCCAGGGGACUGGUCGUGAAGGACUGGCGAAGACUCUGA
This 786-nucleotide long non-coding RNA is filed under the name Felis catus (domestic cat). Its description in RNAcentral is "lncRNA (ENSFCAG00000048123.1)". The record is from RNAcentral. Lineage: Eukaryota; Metazoa; Chordata; Mammalia; Carnivora; Felidae.